Trifolium pratense (red clover) is the source of this 91-nucleotide small nucleolar RNA. RefSeq annotates it as small nucleolar RNA snoR1. The transcript has a single exon. The record is from RefSeq and is a predicted model, not a curated record. Lineage: Eukaryota; Viridiplantae; Streptophyta; Magnoliopsida; Fabales; Fabaceae.
UGCAAUGAUGAAAGUGCUUCUUAUAUUCCGACACCUUGUAUGAGAUGAAUCAGUAAAUUCAUUUUUGAGCACAUAAAGCAACUCUUUGACU